RNAcentral lists this ribosomal RNA (229 nucleotides) under uncultured bacterium. RNAcentral describes it as "partial 16S ribosomal RNA". It matches the Rfam family "Bacterial small subunit ribosomal RNA", at positions 568 to 796 of the family's 1533-position model. The record is from RNAcentral.
UCCGUAGGAGGGUAAUUAAGUCAGAGGUGAAAUCCCACAGCUUAACUGUGGAACUGCCUUAGAUACUGGUUAUCUUGAGUUUUAGUGAAGUAGAUAGAAUGUGUAGUGUAGCGGUGAAAUGCAUAGAUAUUACACAGAAUACCGAUUGCGAAGGCAGUCUACUAACUAACAACUGACGCUAAUGGACGAAAGCGUGGGGAGCGAACAGGAUUAGAUACCCUGGUAGUCC